Molecule: long non-coding RNA, 385 nt
Organism: Melanotaenia boesemani (Boeseman's rainbowfish)
Lineage: Eukaryota; Metazoa; Chordata; Actinopteri; Atheriniformes; Melanotaeniidae
Exons: 3
Source: RefSeq, a predicted model, not a curated record
AGAGCCGUGUCUCUGUACAGUCAGAGGUUUUUGUACGGCGGUUCAAUGAGUUUGUAUCACUGUGGUACACGUUCGGUGGAGGAACCAGACUGGAUGUUAACUGAACAGGAUUGUUUGUGUUGAGUUUGUUGUGUUGAAAGUCAGAGAGCCGUGUCUCUCUACAGUCAGAGGUUUUUGUACGACGACUCAACCAGUUUGUAUCACUGUGGUACACGUUCGGUGGAGGAACCAGACUGGAGCUUGGAAGUGAUGUCCGUCCCACCCUGACGGUGCUGCCCCCCUCCACAGAAGAGCUGCAGCAGGGGAAGGCCACACUCAUGUGUCUGGCCAACAAGGGCUUCCCCUCAGACUGGAGUCUGUCCUGGAAGGUGGACGGCAGCAGCAG